UAGCCAAAUUGGUGGGGCGUCUCAU
This 25-nucleotide non-coding RNA is filed under the name Mus musculus (house mouse). Lineage: Eukaryota; Metazoa; Chordata; Mammalia; Rodentia; Muridae. The record is from RNAcentral.